Molecule: ribosomal RNA, 468 nt
Filed under: uncultured bacterium
Lineage: Bacteria
Description: partial 16S ribosomal RNA
Rfam family: Bacterial small subunit ribosomal RNA
Source: RNAcentral
GACGAACGCUGGCGGCGUGCUUAACACAUGCAAGUCGAACGGAAAGGCCCUGCGUUUGUGGGGUGCUCGAGUGGCGAACGGGUGAGUAACACGUGAGUAACCUGCCCUUGACUUUGGGAUAACUUCAGGAAACUGGGGCGAAUACCGGAUAGGAGCUCCUGCUGCAUGGUGGGGGUUGGAAAGUUUCGGCGGUUGGGGAUGGACUCGCGGCUUAUCAGCUUGUUGGUGGGGUAGUGGCUUACCAAGGCUUUGACGGGUAGCCGGCCUGAGAGGGUGACCGGCCACAUUGGGACUGAGAUGCGGCCCAGACUCAUACGGGAGGCAGCAGUGGGGAAUAUUGCACAAUGGGCGGAAGCCUGAUGCAGCAACGCCGCGUGCGGGAUGACGGCCUUCGGGUUGUAACCCGCUUUCGCCUGUGACGAAGCGUGAGUGACGGUAAUGGGUAAAGCAGCACCGGCUACCUACGUG